UUGUCUUGAGGGUUAAGCCAUGCACGCCUAUGCUCACCCUACACAGAAGGGGAAGCCGCGAACUGCUCAGUAUAUCGGCGAUAAUACACGGGGUGGGCGAUGUUUGUCCGGACACCUGUAGGAAUCCCAGAGCUAAUACGUGCACACGAGUCCUCCUCCUCUAACCGGCGGCGAUUCGUUCGCGGGUCGUUGUCGCGGGGAGAGGGCGCAUUUAUUAGGAUCUCGACCGGCGGCGGGCGGUUAAUCCCGCUCGCCAGGCUGAGGCGAACUCUGGGUAUGUGACGACCGCUUUCUAGCGGCGUGCCCGUUUGCUCGCCGUCCCAUCAAAUUUAGACGGCCCGGGCAAGAGCCCCCCGUGUUGGCUACGGGUGACGGAGGAUCAGGGUUCGAUCCCGGAGAGGGAGCCUGCGAGACGGCUACCACGCUUAAGGGUGGCAGCAGGCGCGCAACUUACCCACUCCCAGCACGGUGAGGUAGUGAAGAUAAAUGUCGGGGCUGGGCUCGCAUGCGAGCCUAGCGGUCGGAUUGAGCGUAGACCAAACACGUGCCGUUGAUGACCUAUCGGAGGGCAAGCCUGGUGCCAGCAGCCGCGGUAAUUCCAGCUCCGAUGGCGUAUGUUGUAGUUGCUGCGUUUAAAACGCUCGUAGUUGGAUCUCAGAGGUGACGGCGGUGACACACCGCGGGUGGCGUUGUCCCGGCGAUUAUGCACCGUCGCGGUUUCGGGGAUGGAUGUCUCGACCUCGUGUCCGGAAGGGGCUCAGGCUUCGACCGGCGCGGGGACUCAUCGGGCGCCGGACCCUCGCGACGGAUCUCGUCGGGCAUCGCUCGCCCGUCGCCGCCGGUUUAGUCUCUUUCCGUCCCAAGUCUCGUCGUGUCGCUCGGUACGUGGCGUAUCCAGAGCGCCGACGCUGAUCGGGCGGUGUUCUCCCUGAAUCAAUUGGAGUGCUCAAAGCAGGUCGUGCUCGCACAGUUUUGCUCGGAACGAUGUGAUGACGCCACCGUCCCGUCACGCCUUUGCGCGCGCGGGCCCGGUCCUCGCGGGGACGGUGGGCGAGGUCUAUAGAGACGGCCGGGGGGCGGCGUACUACCGCGGGAGGGGUGGAAUCCGACGAUCGCGGUGGGACGAACGAGAGCGAAGGCACCGGCCAAGAGCGCCUUCGUUGAUCAUGAACGAAAGUCGGAGGAACGAACGCGAUCAGGUACCGCGGUAGUUCCGACAGUAAACCAUGCCGACCGGUUACGCGGGGACGUCCCCAGUGGGGAAGCCUCGCGAGGCCCCGGAGAAAUCAGAGUGCCUGGGCUCCGGGGGGAGUACGGUCGCAAGGCUGAAACUUAAAGGAAUUGACGGAAGGGCACCACCAGGAGUGGAGCCUGCGGCUCAAUUUGACUCAACACGGGGAAGCUUACCAGGUCCGGACACCGCGCGGAUUGACAGACUGAAGCUCUUUCUUGAUUCGGUGGGUGGUGGUGCAUGGCCGUUGCUAGCCCGUGGAGCGAUCCGUCUGGUUCAUUCCGAUAACGGGCGAGACUCUACCCUGGCGGAUAACAAACGUCGAUCGAGAGGGGUUCGUCUCACGGGUGGGGUCGGUGCUCACGCGUCGGCCUCGCCACUCAGGGAGAGACGAUGCCCCGGAUCGUCGUCGCGCAGGCCGCGUCCUGCAGGGAUUGACCUCGAGCAGUGCGUACGAGAGGGAGCCAUAACAGGUCUGUGAUGCCCUUAGACGUCCUGGGCUGCACGUGUGCUACAGUGGCGGCGCUAGCCGGCUCGGUGUAGACCGUGAGCGAAGGAGUCUUCAUGUCCGGGGUCGGUCUUCCUGCGAGUUGGGCCGUGAACUCGGAAUGCCACGUAGUCACGGGUCAGCAUCCCGUGCCGACUACGUCCCUGCCCUUUGUACACACCGCCCGUCGCUACCUUCGGUGGACGGCGCAGCCAGGACUUCGGAGUGACCGGCGAAACGGGUCGGUUCGUCCGGCUCGAUAAUCGCAGUUGUCGCGAUGUCGUCCGAACUGCGUUGCCCCGAGAGGGUAAAAGUCGUAACAAGGUUA
Molecule: ribosomal RNA, 2046 nt
Filed under: Glaucus atlanticus
Lineage: Eukaryota; Metazoa; Mollusca; Gastropoda; Nudibranchia; Glaucidae
Description: partial small subunit ribosomal RNA
Rfam family: Eukaryotic small subunit ribosomal RNA
Source: RNAcentral